RNAcentral lists this ribosomal RNA (465 nucleotides) under uncultured bacterium. RNAcentral describes it as "bacterial SSU rRNA". It matches the Rfam family "Bacterial small subunit ribosomal RNA", at positions 338 to 795 of the family's 1533-position model. The record is from RNAcentral.
CCUACGGGGGGCUGCAGUAGGGAAUCUUCCGCAAUGGACGAAAGUCUGACGGAGCAACGCCGCGUGAGCGAAGAAGGUCUUCGGAUCGUAAAGCUCUGUUGUUAGGGAAGAACAAGUACGGGAGGAAAUGACCGUACCUUGACGGUACCUAACGAGGAAGCCACGGCUAACUACGUGCCAGCAGCCGCGGUAAUACGUAGGUGGCAAGGGUUGUCCGGAAUUAUUGGGCGUAAAGCGCGCGCAGGCGGUCUUUUAAGUCUGAUGUGAAAUCUUGCGGCUCAACCGCAAGCGGUCAAUGGAAACCGGGGGGCUUGGGUGCCGAAGGAGAAAGCGGAAUUCCACGUUGAGCGGUGAAAUGCCUAGAGAUGUUGGAGGACCCCAGUGGCGAAGGCGGCUUUCUUGGCUGUAACUGACGCCUAGGCGCGAAAGCGUGGGGAGCAAACAGGAUUAGAUACCCGAGUAGUC